GACAGAGGUGCCGAGCGUUAGGCGGAAUCACUGGGCUUAAAGCGUGUGUAGGCGGGUCGUUAAGUGUCUUGUGAAAUCCCACCGCUCAACGGUGGAACUGCUGGGCAUACUGGCGAUCUUGAGCCACCUAGGGGCGAGCGGAACAAGCGGUGGAGCGGUGAAAUGCGUAGAUAUCGCUUGGAACGCCGACGGUGAAAACAGCUCGCUGGGGGUGUGCUGACGCUGAGACACGAAAGCCAGGGGAGCAAACGGG
Molecule: ribosomal RNA, 253 nt
Filed under: uncultured bacterium
Lineage: Bacteria
Description: partial 16S ribosomal RNA
Rfam family: Bacterial small subunit ribosomal RNA
Source: RNAcentral